This 433-nucleotide ribosomal RNA is filed under the name uncultured bacterium. RNAcentral's name for it is "partial 16S ribosomal RNA". It matches the Rfam family "Bacterial small subunit ribosomal RNA", at positions 29 to 507 of the family's 1533-position model. The record is from RNAcentral.
AACGAACGCUGGCGGCAUGCUUAACACAUGCAAGUCGAACGAGACCUCCGGGUCUAGUGGCGCACGGGUGCGUAACGCGUGGGAACUUGCCCUUAGGUUCGGAAUAACUCACCGAAAGGGGUGCUAAUACCGGAUAAUGUCUUCGGACCAAAGAUCUAUCGCUUUGGGAUGGGCCCGUGUUGGAUUCGCUAGUUGGUAGGGUAAAAGCCUACCAAGGCGACGAUCCAUAGCUGGUCUGGGAGGAUGAUCAGCCACACUGGGACUGAGACACGGCCCAGUCUGCUACGGGGGGCAGCAGUGGGGAAUAUUGGGCGAUGGGCGAAGACCUGAUCCAGCAAUGCCGCGUGAGUGGUGAAGGCCUUAGGGUUGUAAAGCUCUUUUUCCCGAGAUGAUAAUGACAGUACCGGGAAAAUAAGCUCCGGCUAACUCCGUG